AUUGAACGCUGGCGGCAUGCCUUACACAUGCAAGUCGAACGGUAACAGGUCUUCGGAUGCUGACGAGUGGCGAACGGGUGAGUAAUACAUCGGAACGUGCCUAGUAGUGGGGGAUAACUACUAGAAAGAGUGGCUAAUACCGCAUGAGAUCUACGGAUGAAAGCAGGGAAUCGCAAGACCUAGUGCAACUAGAGCGGCAGAUGGCAGAUUAGGUAGUGGGUGGGAUAAAAGCUUACCAAGCCGACGAGCUGUAGCUGGGCUGAGAGGACGAUCAGGCACACUGGGACUGAGACACGGCCCAGACUCCUACGGGAGGCAGCAGUGGGGAAUUUUGGACAAUGGGCGAAAGCCUGAUCCAGCAAUGCCGCGUGCAGGAUGAAGGCCUUCGGGUUGUAAACUGCUUUUGUACGGAACGAAAAGCCCCGGGUUAAUACCCUGGGGUCAUGACGGUACCGUAAGAAUAAGCACCGGCUAACUACAUGCCAGCCGCCGCAGUAA
Molecule: ribosomal RNA, 498 nt
Filed under: uncultured bacterium
Lineage: Bacteria
Description: partial 16S ribosomal RNA
Rfam family: Bacterial small subunit ribosomal RNA
Source: RNAcentral